Molecule: transfer RNA, 71 nt
Filed under: Pseudomonadota bacterium
Lineage: Bacteria; Pseudomonadati; Pseudomonadota
Description: Proteobacteria bacterium (activated sludge metagenome) tRNA-Trp
Rfam family: tRNA
About the family: Transfer RNA (tRNA) molecules are approximately 80 nucleotides in length. Their secondary structure includes four short double-helical elements and three loops (D, anti-codon, and T loops). Further hydrogen bonds mediate the characteristic L-shaped molecular structure. tRNAs have two regions of fundamental functional importance: the anti-codon, which is responsible for specific mRNA codon recognition, and the 3' end, to which the tRNAs corresponding amino acid is attached (by aminoacyl-tRNA synthetases). tRNAs cope with the degeneracy of the genetic code in two manners: having more than one tRNA (with a specific anti-codon) for a particular amino acid; and 'wobble' base-pairing, i.e. permitting non-standard base-pairing at the 3rd anti-codon position.
Source: RNAcentral
GGGUUAUUGGUGUAAUGGCAACAUCUCGAGCUCCAACCUCGCAGAUACUGGUUCGAUUCCAGUAUAACCCU